GGGGGUGUGGCUCAAGUGGUAGAGUGCUUGCCUAGCAUGCAAGAGGCCCCUGGGUUCAAUCCCCAGUACUGCCA
Castor canadensis (American beaver) is the source of this 74-nucleotide non-coding RNA. Lineage: Eukaryota; Metazoa; Chordata; Mammalia; Rodentia; Castoridae. The record is from the annotation of a RefSeq genome assembly.